CAGAGCCCUUGCCUGAGGGCCUGGCCUGGCAGCUCUGCUGUUAGAAGCAGGAGGUGUGCAGGGGGUGGGGAGCAGCCCAGCCUCUGUGAUCUUCUCCAUGGCAGGAUCUCCCAGCAGGUAGAGCAGAGCCGGAGCCAGGUGCAGGCCAUUGGAGAGAAGGUCUCCUUGGCCCAGGCCAAGAUUGAGAAGAUCAAGGGCAGCAAGAAGGCCAUCAAGGUGUUCUCCAGUGCCAAGUACCCUGCUCCAGAGCGCCUGCAGGAAUAUGGCUCCAUCUUCACGGGCGCCCAGGACCCUGGCCUGCAGAGACGCCCCCGCCACAGGAUCCAGAGCAAGCACCGCCCCCUGGACGAGCGGGCCCUGCAGGAGAAGCUGAAGGACUUUCCUGUGUGCGUGAGCACCAAGCCGGAGCCCGAGGACGAUGCGCUUUUCAACACCACCGAGAACCUGUCCCAGAGAACUACUUCUAUGUGCCAGACCUGGGCCAGGUGCCUGAGAUUGAUGUUCCAUCCUACCUGCCUGACCUGCCCAGCAUUGCCAACGACCUCAUGUACA
Molecule: long non-coding RNA, 552 nt
Filed under: Homo sapiens (human)
Lineage: Eukaryota; Metazoa; Chordata; Mammalia; Primates; Hominidae
Description: non-protein coding lnc-IL9R-1:4
Source: RNAcentral